This is a long non-coding RNA of Bos taurus (domestic cattle), 4009 nucleotides long. The record is from Ensembl. NCBI's taxonomy places the organism in Eukaryota, Metazoa, Chordata, Mammalia, Artiodactyla, Bovidae.
GUCCACUGAAUCUGAUUUUCAGGAUCAUUCAUUCUCUCACUUGUAAUUUACAGAUUGCAGUCCAAAGUGAUGACAUCAACCAGAUAAGGUUGAAGGCAGAUAAAAAAUAAGGUUAUCUAUUGCCUUCUGCCCAAGCUUGUUUGAGAAGGUGUUUGGUUUUCUAUUGCUGUGUAAUAGAUAAUCACAAAGUUAGCAUCUAAAAUAACAAUGUAAGUUCAUUAUCUCAGUUUCCAUGGGUCAGGAGUCCAGGUACCUGUUAGCUGAGUCCUCUCUUCAAGGGUCCCCCCUGGCUAAAAUCAAGAUGAUGUCUGGGGCAGCACUCGCAUCCGAAACCUAAGGUCCUCUUCCAAGCUCAUGUGGUUGGCAGGAUUCAGUUCCUUGUGAACUGAAUUGAGGAAUGAAGUAAUUUAUUAUCCAAGCCAGAGUACUUAGAGCGGCUUUGAGGAGAUAACCCACGUCCAAGGGCAAAGGAGAAGCCCCAGCAAGACAGUAGGAAGGGCGAAAUCGCAUUUAGUAUCAAACCCCAAACCCACCAGAGAUGCUUACAGGGCUCAAACAAACCUUGUGUGCACCAGGAAACAAGAGACCCAACAGAGACUGAGCCAGAACUGUGUUUGAGUGUCUCCUGUGGAGGUACAGGUCAGCAGUGGGCUGCCGCAGGGCAGGGGCUCUGGGCGCAGCAGACCUGUGUAUGGCAUAAGCCGCCGUGGAGGAGGUCGCAAUUAACCCCACCAUAGAGCCACCAGAACUUACACAGGACUGGGGAGACAGACUCUUGAAGGUCACAACAAAACCUUGUGCACACCAGGACCCAUGAGAAAGGAGCAGUGACCCCACAAGAGACUGACCCAGACUUGCCCGUGAGUGUCCAGAGUCUCCAGUGGAGGUGUGGGUUGGCGGUGGCCUGCUGCAGGGUUGGGGGCACUGAGUGUAGCAGUGCACGUAUGGGACCUUUUGAAGGAGCUCACCAUUAACUUCAUUACCUCCACCAUAGAGUGGCCCCCGGGUAAAUAAUAGGGAGGGAACACAGCCCCACCCAUUAACAGAGAGCUGGAUUAAAGAUUUACUGAGCAUGGCCCCGCCCAUCAGAACAAGACCCAGUUUCUCCCUCAGUCUCUCCCAUCAGGAAUCUUCCAUAACCCUCUUAUCCCUAUCCAUCAGAGGGCAGACAGACUGAAAACCACGCAGAAAACUAACCAAUCUGAUCACAUGGACCACAGCCUUGUCUAACUCAAUGAAACUAUGAGCCAUGACAUGUAGGACCACCCAAGAUGGAUGUGUCAUGGUGGAGAGUUGUGAUAAAACAUGGUCCACUGGAGAAGGGAAUGGCAAACCACUUCAGUAUUCUUGCCUUGAGAACCCCACGAACAGUGUGAAAGGCAAAAAGAUAAGACCCUGAAAGAUGAACUCCCCAGGUUGGUAGAUGCCCAACAUGCUAUUGGAGAUCAGAGGAGAAAUAACUGCAGAAAGACUGAAGAGACAGAGCCAAAGCAAAAACACCCAGUUGUAGAUGUGACUGGUGAUGGAAGUAAAUUCUGAUGCUGUAAAGAGCAAUACUGCAUAGGAACCUGGAAUGUUAGGUCCGUGAAUCAAGGCAAAUUAGAAGUGGUCAAACAGGAGAUGGCAAGAGUGAACAUUGACAUUUUAGGAAUCAGUGACCUAAAAUGGACUGAAUGGAUGAAUUUAACUCAGAUGACCAUUAUACCUACUACUGUGGGCAAAAAUCCCUUAGAAGAAAUGGCGUAACCAUCAUAGUCAACAAAAGAGUCUGAAAUACAGUACUUGGAUUCAAUCUCAAAAACGACAGAAUGAUCUCUCUUCGUUUCCAAGGCAAAUGGUUCAAUAUCAUAGUAAUCCAACUCUGUGCUACAACCAGUAAUGCUGAAGUUGAAUGGUUCUAUGAAGACCUACAAGACCUUUUAGAACUAACACCCCCAAAAGAUGUCCUUUUCAUUAUAGGGGACUGGGAUUCAAAAGUAAGAAGUCAAGAAAUACCUGGAGUACAGGCAAAUUUAGCCUUGGAGUAUGGAAUGAAGCAGGGCAAAGGCUAAUAGAGUUUUACCAAGAAAAUGCUACUGGCCAUAGCAAACACCCUCUUCCAACGACACAAGAGAAGACUACACAUGAACAUCACCAGAUGGUCAACACCAAAAUCAAAUUGAUUAUAUUCUUUGCGGCCCAAGAUGGAGAAAUCCCAAAAACAAGACGAGGAGCUGACUGUGGCUCAGAUCAUGAACUCUGUAUUGCCAAAUUCAGACUUAAAUUGAAGAAAAUAGGGAAAACCACCAGACCAUUCAGGUAUGACCUAAAACAAAUCCCUUAGGAUUAUGCAGUGGAAGUGAGAAAUAGAUUCAAGGGAUUAGAAAUAACAGACAGAGUGCCUGAAGAACUAUUUACGGAGGUUUGUGACAUUGUACAGGAGGCAACGAUCAAGACCAUCCCCAAGAAAAAGAAAUGCAAAAAGGCAAAAUGUUGUCUGAGGAGGCCUUACAAAUAGUUGUGAGAAGAGAAAUGAAAGGCAAAGGGGAAAAGGAAAGAUAUACCCAUUUGAAUGCAGAGUUCCAUAGAAAGCAAGGAGAGAUAAGAAAGCCUUCCUCAGUGGUCAAUGCAAAGAAAUAGAGGAAAACAAUAGAAUGGGAAAGACUAGAGAUCUCUUCAAGAAAAUUAGAGAUACCAAGGGAACAUUUCAUGUAAAGAUGGGCCAAUAAAGGACAGAAAUGGUAUGGACCUAACAGAAGCAGAAGAUAUUAAGAAGAGGUGGCAAGAAUACAUGGAAGAACUAUACAAAACAGAUGGUCAUGACCCAGAUAAUCACCAUGGUGUAAUCAUUCACCUAGAGCCAGACAUCCUGGAAUGUGAAGUCAAGUGGGCCUUAGGAAUCAUCACUAUGAACAAAGCUAGUGGAGGUGAUGGAAUUUCAGUUGAGCUACUUCAAAUCCUAAAAGAUGAUGCUGUGAAAGUGUUGCACUCAAUAUGCCAGCACAUUUGGAAAACUCAGCAGUGGCCACAGGACUGGAAAAGGUCAGUUUUCAUUCCAAUCCCCAAGAAAGGCAAUGCCAAAGAAUGCUCAAACUACUGCACAGUUGCACUCAUCUCACACGCUAGCAAAGUAAUGCUCAAAAUUCUCCAAGGUAGGCUUCAACAGUACGUGAACCGUGAACUUCCAGAUGUUCAAGCUGGAUUUAGAAAAGACAGAGGAACCAGAGAUCAAAUUGCCAACAUCUGAUGGAUCAUUGAAAAAGCAAGAGAGUUCCAGGAAAAAACAUUUACUUCUGCUUCAUUGACUAUGCGAAAGCCUUUGACUGUGUGGAUCACCACAAACUGUGGAAAAUUCUUCAAGAGAUGGGGAUACCAGACCACCUGACCUGCCUCCUGAGAAAUCUGUAUGCAGGUCAAAAAGCAACAGUUAGAACCAGACAUGGAACAGACUGGUUCCAAAUUGAGAAAGGAACUCGUCCAGGCUGUAUAUUGUCACCCUGCUUAUUUAACUUCUAUGCAGAGUACAUCAUGAGAAACACUAAGCUGAAUGAAGCACAAGCUGGGAUCAAGAUUGCUGGGAGAAAUAUCAAUAACCUUAGAUAUGCAGAUGUCACCAUCCUUAUGGCAGAAAGUGAAGAACUAAAGAAUCUGUUGAUGAAAGUGAAAGAGGAGAGUGAAAAAGUUGGCUUAAAGCUCAACAUUCAGAAAAGGCACCUAUGAAUAUUUGCAAGAAACAGUACUCAAGUCACUCAGCAAGAAUUUUUUUUUUUUUGCAUCUCAGUUUUCUUUUUCUGGUCUCCUCUCCUGAUUAUAUUUCAACAGUGUAAAGGAGUAAACUCCAAGAGAUGGUGAGGGACAAGGAAGCCUGGCGUGCUGCAGUGCAUGAGAAUUGACAACUGAGCAACAACAAAGAAGACUGUAUUGGUUGUCUACUUCUUUCCAAAGGAAUUUUAUUUUCUGUUUUUCUUUGAAAACAGGGAGCCAUUCUCCACUGGCUAGAGCAUGUUCUAUUUUGUAUUCUUGUUAUCAG